This 109-nucleotide microRNA precursor is filed under the name Sorghum bicolor (sorghum). Its description in RNAcentral is "MIR5565 microRNA precursor family". It matches the Rfam family "MIR5565 microRNA precursor family". Lineage: Eukaryota; Viridiplantae; Streptophyta; Magnoliopsida; Poales; Poaceae. The record is from Rfam by way of RNAcentral.
AUAGUCUAAUUCGCAUUAAUCUAUAUGUGUUGGUAUGGGUUGGAGUAGAAUUUGAACUAAAUUCCACCCCAAUCCACUCUAACACAUGUGGAUUGCGGUGAAUUCGUCA